UAGAGUUUGAUCCUGGCUCAGGACGAACGCUGGCGGCGUGNCCUAAUACAUGCAAGUAGAACGCUUGAAGAGAGGAGCUUGCUCCUUCUUGGAUGAGUUGCGAACGGGUGAGUAACGCGUAGGUAACCCUGCCUUGGUAGCGGGGGAUAACUAUUGGAAACGAUAGCUAAUACCGCAUAACAAUGGAUGACACAUGUCAUUUAUUUGAAAGGGGCAAUUGCUCCACUACAAGAUGGACCUGCGUUGUAUUAGCUAGUAGGUGAGGUAAUGGCUCACCUAGGCGACGAUACAUAGCCGACCNUGAGAGGGUGAUCGGCCACACUGGGAACUGAGACACGGNCCCAGACUCCUACGGGAAGGCAGCAGUAGGGAAUCUUCGGCAAUGGGGGGCAACCCUGACCGAGCAACGCCGCGUGAGUGAAGAAGGUUUUCGGAUCGUAAAGCUCUGUUGUAAGUCAAGAACGGGUGUGAGAGUGGAAAGUUCACACUGUGACGGUAGCUUACCAGAAAGGGACGGCUAACUACGUGCCAGCAGCCGCGGUAAUACGUAGGUCCCGAGCGUUGUCCGGAUUUAUUGGGCGUAAAGCGAGCGCAGGCGGUUUGAUAAGUCUGAAGUUAAAGGCUGUGGCUCAACCAUAGUUCGCUUUGGAAACUGUCAAACUUGAGUGCAGAAGGGGAGAGUGGAAUUCCAUGUGUAGCGGUGAAAUGCGUAGAUAUAUGGAGGAACCACCCGGUGGCGAAAGCGGCUCUCUGGUCUGUAACUACGCUAGGNCGAAGC
Molecule: ribosomal RNA, 778 nt
Filed under: uncultured bacterium
Lineage: Bacteria
Description: bacterial SSU rRNA
Rfam family: Bacterial small subunit ribosomal RNA
Source: RNAcentral